UGAUCCUGGCUCAGAGUGAACGCUGGCGGUAGGCCUAACACAUGCAAGUCGAACGGCAGCACAGGAGAGCUUGCUCUCUGGGUGGCGAGUGGCGGACGGGUGAGGAAUACAUCGGAAUCUACCUUUUCGUGGGGGAUAACGUAGGGAAACUUACGCUAAUACCGCAUACGACCUACGGGUGAAAGUGGGGGACCGCAAGGCCUCACGCGAUUAGAUGAGCCGAUGUCCGAUUAGCUAGUUGGCGGGGUAAUGGCCCACCAAGGCGACGAUCGGUAGCUGGUCUGAGAGGAUGAUCAGCCACACUGGAACUGAGACACGGUCCAGACUCCUACGGGAGGCAGCAGUGGGGAAUAUUGGACAAUGGGCGCAAGCCUGAUCCAGCCAUACCGCGUGGGUGAAGAAGGCCUUCGGGUUGUAAAGCCCUUUUGUUGGGAAAGAAAUCCUAUCGGUUAAUAACCGGUGGGGAUGACGGUACCCAAAGAAUAAGCACCGGCUAACUUCGUGCCAGCAGCCGCGGUAAUACGAAGGGUGCAAGCGUUACUCGGAAUUACUGGGCGUAAAGCGUGCGUAGGUGGUGGUUUAAGUCUGCUGUGAAAGCCCUGGGCUCAACCUGGGAAUUGCAGUGGAUACUGGAUUACUAGAGUGUGGUAGAGGGAUGCGGAAUUUCUGGUGUAGCAGUGAAAUGCGUAGAGAUCAGAAGGAACAUCCGUGGCGAAGGCGGCAUCCUGGGCCAACACUGACACUGAGGCACGA
Molecule: ribosomal RNA, 753 nt
Filed under: uncultured bacterium
Lineage: Bacteria
Description: bacterial SSU rRNA
Rfam family: Bacterial small subunit ribosomal RNA
Source: RNAcentral